CACGUAAUUAGCCGGGGCUUAUUCGUCGAUUACCGUCAUCAGAUGAGCAUUCCCUCUCACCCUUAUUCUUCAUCAACAAAAGGAUUUUACAACUUUUCAGCCUUCUUCAUCCACGCGGCGUCGCUCCGUCAGACUUCCGUCCAUUGCGGAAUAUUCUUAGCUGCUGCCUCCCGUAGGAGUUUGGGCCGUAUCUCAGUCCCAAUGUGUCCGUUCACCCUCUCAGGCCGGAUACCCAUCGUUGCCUUGGUGGGCCUUUACCUCACCAACUAGCUAAUGGGACGCAAGCUCAUCCUCAAGCGAAGCCGUAGCUUCCUUUCCUCAACACCUCUUGUGAUAUGCCGAGUGUAUUCGGUAUUACCUGCUAUUUCUAGCAGCUAUCCCCAUCUUAAGGGUAGAUUACCCACGUGUUCCUCACCAGUCCGCCACUCUAGGAGAGAAGCAAGCUCCUCUCUUGCCGUUCGACUUGCAUGCUUAAGACGCGCCGCCAGCGUUCGUU
RNAcentral lists this ribosomal RNA (496 nucleotides) under uncultured Treponema sp. RNAcentral's name for it is "partial 16S ribosomal RNA". The record is from RNAcentral. Lineage: Bacteria; Pseudomonadati; Spirochaetota; Spirochaetia; Treponematales; Treponemataceae.